GUUAAGAUGCCGUAUACCCGCGGCUAGACGGAAAGACCCCGUGAACCUUUACUACAGCUUUGCACUGAACUUUGAACCUACUUGUGUAGGAUAGCUGGGAGACAUUGAAGCGAGGACGCCAGUUCUUGUGGAGUCAACCUUGAAAUACCAGCCUGGUAUGUUUGGAGUUCUAACCUCGGUCCCUUAUCGGGACUAGGGACAGUGUAUGGUGGGUAGUUUGACUGGGGCGG
This 230-nucleotide ribosomal RNA is filed under the name Alexandrium margalefii. RNAcentral describes it as "partial Bacterial large subunit ribosomal RNA". It matches the Rfam family "Bacterial large subunit ribosomal RNA", at positions 2053 to 2282 of the family's 2925-position model. The record is from RNAcentral. Lineage: Eukaryota; Dinophyceae; Gonyaulacales; Pyrocystaceae.